GUUCACAUGCCAUCUGUCACUACAAUUUUAGCAGAAUACCCUUCACACACAUUCUACUGUUAUUGUCGACGAGAAAUGUGCUACUGCCGAUAGAAAAGUGCUACUACCGGUAAUAUUGCAAUUUUUUCCGGUAAUUCUCCAUAACCAAACAAGCUAGCUGCUGCUGCUACUAUUGUUUAAAUCAUUGCUGCAAUGUUGCAUGCUACUGUUAUUAUUGUUGCAAUGAUGUUGCUGCUAUUGUUUAAAUCCUUACUGCAAAUUUGCUACUGCUAUUGACACGACCCACCCCGAAUUUCACCCUGAAAUCCAGAGUAAGUCGUGCGGGGACCACCUCCAAGGAAAAUUUACUAAAAAGAUUAAGCAAAUCUCCCUUGCAGAUGGACAACCCUAACUGGAAAAUUUCAUAUUACACUCUUAAUUUAACGCUUCUGAAUAUCACAUAAUAUACAAAAUUCUAAAGUAUUCAGAGCUACUAAACACAAGCGGAAGCAAGAAAACACAAGUAGGUUGAACAGGUAACCUACUGAUGAA
This 531-nucleotide long non-coding RNA is filed under the name Fragaria vesca (wild strawberry). RNAcentral describes it as "long non-coding RNA (FVES_LNC002986)". The record is from RNAcentral. Lineage: Eukaryota; Viridiplantae; Streptophyta; Magnoliopsida; Rosales; Rosaceae.